AUCGCCAUGACUCAAACGCUUACAGGUCCUAACUGUCAAUGCGACUCUCUAGUAUGCCUGAAACACUAAAAUGAAACACAAAUAAGCAACAACAGAAUAUAACACCACAGAAUAACCCUUAAUAGGAGCCCCACUCCUAUUCUAUUACCUAAUGAUGAGAACGACAACAUAGUACCCAUACUGUCCAUUUCUCACUUCCUUCGCAUCUGACACAAUAGUGAUAACUAAAUAUCCUUGCAGCCGCCUCUACGCCUUAUACCAUAAUUAGGACCCUCCUGAGUCCAUUCGAAGUCCCCUCCC
This 300-nucleotide long non-coding RNA is filed under the name Physcomitrium patens. Its description in RNAcentral is "long non-coding RNA (PPAT_LNC005723)". The record is from RNAcentral. Lineage: Eukaryota; Viridiplantae; Streptophyta; Bryopsida; Funariales; Funariaceae.